Molecule: ribosomal RNA, 969 nt
Filed under: Triticum aestivum (bread wheat)
Lineage: Eukaryota; Viridiplantae; Streptophyta; Magnoliopsida; Poales; Poaceae
Description: partial small subunit ribosomal RNA
Source: RNAcentral
AUGUCGUAUUCGAGGUACAGGAGUCGUUCAAGGAGUGUGGACUCGAGUGAUGUUGAGAACCCUGGGAACAAUCUCUUCGUGACUGGUUUAUCAUCUCGUCUAACUGAUCGAGAUCUGGAGAAGCAUUUCUCUACAGAGGGAGAGGUGAUUGAUGCAAGUAUAGUACUUGAUCCAUGGACAAGGGAAUCACGGGGAUUUUGGUUUGUUACCAUGGCUACUCUUAAGGAGGCAGAACACUGCAUCAAAUAUCUCGACCGUUCAGUGCUGGAAGGUCGUGUCAUUACUGUUGAGAAGGCAAAGAGAAGACGAGGCCGAACCCCAACACCAGGAAGGUAUCUGGGCACCAAAUCAUCGCGUGGAAGGAGGUAUUCCCGAAGCAGGUCACCUGUUAGGAGAGACCGUUACAGCUCACGCUACUCGCCUGAGCGAGAACGCUCUUAUUCUCCUUAUCGCAGAGGACGAUCAUACUCUCGUCGUGACAGGCGUAGAUCAUACUCCCCUGAUGAAAGGAGGCGAUACUACUCUCCCUAUGGCAGAAGGAGAUCAUACUCUCCUUCUGACAGGUCGGAGUCUCCCUACGACAGGCGUAGGUCCUACUCACCCUAUGACAGGUCCUACUCACCCCGCCAUGGUCAUCGCCACCGUUCAAGAUCUCCAUACCGUUACAGAAGGCAGAGGUCGCACUCCCACGACCGUUCUGUUUCAGCAUACUACAGCAGGCGCUAUUCUCCAAGGAGCAGAAGACGGAGCUACUCUCGCAGCAUAUCGCCACGCAGGAGCUACUCCCGCAGCUGCUCCCCGGUUUCAGAAGAAUCAAGGAGCUGUUCUCCACGGAAAGGAUGCGCCGGAAGCAAGCCAUCACGCAGCAGGUCACCUGGCAAGAGGCGUUCUAGAGAAAGCUAUGCUCACAGCCGCAGUUCAUGCUCCAGGUCCGUCUCUCGGGAGCGCUCAACCUCAGCAAGCACAUGA